CCCUUAGAUGUUCUGGGCCGCACGCGCGCUACACUGACGAAUGCAACGAGCUUAUAACCUUGGCCGAAAGGUCUGGGUAAUCUCCAAAUUUCGUCGUGAUGGGGAUAGAUUAUUGCAAUUAUUAAUCUUCAACGAGGAAUGCCUAGUAAGCGCAAGUCAUCAGCUUGCGUUGAUUACGUCCCUGCCCUUUGUACACACCGCCCGUCGCUCCUACCGAUUGAAUGGUCCGGUGAAGCGUUCGGACCGUGGCCUUUGGACGGUUCGCCGUCUGUUGGCUGCGGGAAGUUCGUUAAACCUUAUUAUUUAGAGGAAGGAGAAGUCGUANCA
This 327-nucleotide ribosomal RNA is filed under the name uncultured eukaryote. RNAcentral describes it as "partial 18S ribosomal RNA". It matches the Rfam family "Eukaryotic small subunit ribosomal RNA", at positions 1470 to 1796 of the family's 1831-position model. The record is from RNAcentral.